Molecule: transfer RNA, 61 nt
Filed under: Aradacanthia heissi
Lineage: Eukaryota; Metazoa; Arthropoda; Insecta; Hemiptera; Aradidae
Description: tRNA-Cys
Source: RNAcentral
AACUUUAUAGUCAAAAUAUGAUGCUAGAUUGCAAGUCUUGAGUUGUUUAAUACUAAAGUUU